Molecule: transfer RNA, 72 nt
Filed under: Bos taurus (domestic cattle)
Lineage: Eukaryota; Metazoa; Chordata; Mammalia; Artiodactyla; Bovidae
Also listed under: 2 other names
Rfam family: tRNA
About the family: Transfer RNA (tRNA) molecules are approximately 80 nucleotides in length. Their secondary structure includes four short double-helical elements and three loops (D, anti-codon, and T loops). Further hydrogen bonds mediate the characteristic L-shaped molecular structure. tRNAs have two regions of fundamental functional importance: the anti-codon, which is responsible for specific mRNA codon recognition, and the 3' end, to which the tRNAs corresponding amino acid is attached (by aminoacyl-tRNA synthetases). tRNAs cope with the degeneracy of the genetic code in two manners: having more than one tRNA (with a specific anti-codon) for a particular amino acid; and 'wobble' base-pairing, i.e. permitting non-standard base-pairing at the 3rd anti-codon position.
Source: Rfam by way of RNAcentral
UCCCUUGUGGCUCUGCUGGUAAAGAAUCUGCCUGCAAUGCAGGAGACCUGGGUUCAAUCCCUGGGUAGGGAA